UACGUAGGGGGCGAGCGUUGACCGACUUUACUGGGCGUAAAGCGCACGCAGGCGGCUUGGUAAGUCUGGUGUGAAAUCUCACGGCUCAACCGUGAGGCUGCACCAGAUACUGCGAAGCUCGAGGACGGGAGAGGAGAUCGGAAUUCCCGGUGUAGCGGUGAAAUGCAUUGAUAUCCGGAGGAACACCAGUGGCGAAGGCGGAUCUCUGGCCCGUUGCUGACGCUGAGGUGCGAAAGCUUGGGGAGCGAAAGGG
Molecule: ribosomal RNA, 253 nt
Filed under: uncultured bacterium
Lineage: Bacteria
Description: partial 16S ribosomal RNA
Rfam family: Bacterial small subunit ribosomal RNA
Source: RNAcentral